GAUGAACGCUGGCGGCGUGCCUAAUACAUGCAAGUCGAGCGAACAGACGAGGAGCUUGCUCCUCUGACGUUAGCGGCGGACGGGUGAGUAACACGUGGAUAACCUACCUAUAAGACUGGGAUAACUUCGGGAAACCGGAGCUAAUACCGGAUAAUAUAUUGAACCGCAUGGUUCAAUAGUGAAAGACGGUUUUGCUGUCACUUAUAGAUGGAUCCGCGCCGGAUUAGCUAGUUGGUAAGGUAACGGCUUACCAAGGCAACGAUGCGUAGCCGACCUGAGAGGGUGAUCAGCCACACUGGAACUGAGACACGGUCCAGACUCCUACGGGAGGCAGCAGUAGGGAAUCUUCCACAAUGGGCGAAAGCCUGACGGAGCAACGCCGCGUGAGUGAUGAAGGUCUUCGGAUCGUAAAACUCUGUUAUUAGGGAAGAACAAAUGUGUAAGUAACUAUGCACGUCUUGACGGUACCUAAUCAGAAAGCCACGGCUAACUACGUG
RNAcentral lists this ribosomal RNA (497 nucleotides) under uncultured bacterium. Its description in RNAcentral is "partial 16S ribosomal RNA". It matches the Rfam family "Bacterial small subunit ribosomal RNA", at positions 28 to 507 of the family's 1533-position model. The record is from RNAcentral.